UAAAGUUGAGUUGUUACGUAAUUGUCGACAAUAAUCCUCGUUGCUUUGGGAGGGCAGUGCCCUCUACGAAUCACAAAUUAUGCACGUUCAAAGUUAAGCGCACCAACUGUUUGAUAAUUUGGCUCACCAGCUAAAUGGUAGUUUUCGCAAUGUUUGAGUACCGAACAAUAUUUUAGAGGUUCUUAUCUCGCGUGUACAAAUUUCUGAACGGCUCGAAACUAGCAAAAGCACUCAAAUGAAUCAAAUAAAGACGAAGGAAAG
RNAcentral lists this long non-coding RNA (261 nucleotides) under Nicotiana benthamiana. RNAcentral describes it as "long non-coding RNA (NBEN_LNC029365)". Lineage: Eukaryota; Viridiplantae; Streptophyta; Magnoliopsida; Solanales; Solanaceae. The record is from RNAcentral.